UUUUUUAGGGACCAAUGUCAUUUUUUGAUAAGUCUCCUAUUUUUAGGGACUAAUAUCAUUUUUUGACGAGUCUUUUAUUUUUAGGGAUU
Populus trichocarpa (black cottonwood) is the source of this 89-nucleotide non-coding RNA. NCBI's taxonomy places the organism in Eukaryota, Viridiplantae, Streptophyta, Magnoliopsida, Malpighiales, Salicaceae. The record is from Rfam.